GUAGGUGAACCUGCGGAAGGAUCAUUAUCACGUAUCCACGUAUAAACCAUUGUGAACCGUUCUAUUAACCUUUGUUCUUAGAUAAGAUAGUGUGAAUCAGACGUUUAAACAGCAAUAGUAAUUGAGCUGUUGUUUGGUUUGCCACAGUCGGUGUUUCUCUCCGGAGUUCCCGAUCGUACUUGCUGAGAAUCAAAGUGUAUUCAAUUACUACUUAUUAACCAUUAUAACCCAAUCUUUAUAACUUUAUGAA
Molecule: unclassified non-coding RNA, 250 nt
Filed under: plant metagenome
Description: partial contains small subunit ribosomal RNA, internal transcribed spacer 1, and 5.8S ribosomal RNA
Source: RNAcentral